UACGUAGGAGGCGAGCGUUGUCCGGAUUUACUGGGCGUAAAGGGCGCGCAGGCGGCAUGUCAAGUACGAAGUGAAAUCUCCUUGCUCAACGAGGAGGGUGCUUUGUAAACUGGCAAGCUAGAGGACGGUAGAGGGGGGUAGAAUUGCUGGUGUAGCGGUGAAAUGCGUAGAGAUCAGCAGGAAUACCCGUGGCGAAGGCGGCCCCCUGGGCCGAACCUGACGCUGAGGCGCGAAGGCUAGGGGAGCGAACGGG
RNAcentral lists this ribosomal RNA (253 nucleotides) under uncultured bacterium. Its description in RNAcentral is "partial 16S ribosomal RNA". It matches the Rfam family "Bacterial small subunit ribosomal RNA", at positions 524 to 776 of the family's 1533-position model. The record is from RNAcentral.